CACGUAGGGUGCGAGCGUUGUCCGGAAUUAUUGGGCGUAAAGAGCUCGUAGGCGGUGUGUCGCGUCGGCCGUGAAAACCUGCAGCUUAACUGUGGGCUUGCGGUCGAUACGGGCAUCACUGGAGUUCGGCAGGGGAGACUGGAAUUCCUGGUGUAGCGGUGAAAUGCGCAGAUAUCAGGAGGAACACCGGUGGCGAAGGCGGGUCUCUGGGCCGAUACUGACGCUGAGACGCGAAAGCGUGGGGAGCAAACAGG
RNAcentral lists this ribosomal RNA (254 nucleotides) under uncultured bacterium. Its description in RNAcentral is "partial 16S ribosomal RNA". It matches the Rfam family "Bacterial small subunit ribosomal RNA", at positions 524 to 776 of the family's 1533-position model. The record is from RNAcentral.